Molecule: long non-coding RNA, 532 nt
Organism: Anopheles arabiensis
Lineage: Eukaryota; Metazoa; Arthropoda; Insecta; Diptera; Culicidae
Exons: 4
Source: RefSeq, a predicted model, not a curated record
AAAACCACCGGUCUACCACAAACUGGAAACAGCGGAAAACCCCGAGGGUCACCGGCCACCAUGCUUAAUUGAAGCAAAGUUGAACUAAUCUGCCGCGACGAAUAUCAGAUCGCAACUGCUAAUAAUUUCGUCGUCUGAGGCGGACUGUUAUGGAGGUACAAAAUCUUCAGUGAUGAUGAAUGCGUUCACGCUUCUACGAGCCGGUAAUUGGCGGUAUCCAGAUCAUCGUCGUACUGUUAGCUUACCUAAGCUACCGAAAUUAGCGACAGUGUAAAAUCUGUGCUGUGAGAAUUACAGCUGGCUCUCACAACCGUCCGGAAGUCGCAGUGAUUUGGUAACAUCAAGAUCAUCACCAUCGCACGAAGCGCAGCAUAUUGACGCAAGCCCAAGCGGACAGCAACCACCUGCAGCAAACGUACGCUGAACGAAUGGUCGUGGUAGAUGCGUUAGGAUUGCAAGGUGAUACUUGCGCUCUGAAAAUGCUAGCACAGAUGUUUGGGCCACAGAGGUGACGUUCCGAGAUUGUAAAACA